RNAcentral lists this ribosomal RNA (428 nucleotides) under uncultured bacterium. RNAcentral's name for it is "bacterial SSU rRNA". It matches the Rfam family "Bacterial small subunit ribosomal RNA", at positions 354 to 796 of the family's 1533-position model. The record is from RNAcentral.
GUGGGGAAUAUUGCGCAAUGGGGGAAACCCUGACGCAGCAACGCCGCGUGAAGGAUGAAGGUUUUCGGAUCGUAAACUUCUUUGAUGAGGGACGAAACAAAUGACGGUACCUCAAAAACAAGCCACGGCUAACUACGUGCCAGCAGCCGCGGUAAUACGUAGGUGGCGAGCGUUGUCCGGAAUUACUGGGUGUAAAGGGCGUGUAGGCGGGAAUGUAAGUCAGAUGUGAAAUACCGAGGCUUAACUUCGGGGCUGCAUCUGAAACUAUGUUUCUUGAGUGUCGGAGAGGAAAGUGGAAUUCCCAGUGUAGCGGUGAAAUGCGUAGAUAUUGGGAGGAACACCAGUGGCGAAGGCGACUUUCUGGACGAUAACUGACGCUGAGGCGCGAAAGCGUGGGGAGCAAACAGGAUUAGAAACCCUUGUAGUCC